AGGACGAACGCUGGCGGCGCGCUUAACACAUGCAAGUCGAGCGAGAACCUUUCCUUCGGGAUUGGGGACAGCGGCGAACGGGUGAGUAACACGUGGGUAAUCUGCCCUUGACAUCGGGAUAGCCCGGGGAAACCCGGAUUAAUACCGAAUAGCCUCCGGAGCCCUCGGGCGCCGGAGAAAAGGUAGCUUCGGCCUCUGGUCAAGGAUGAGCCCGCGGCGGAUUAGCUUGUUGGCGGGGUAAUGGCCCACCAAGGCGACGAUCGGUAGCUGGUCUGAGAGGACGAUCAGCCACACUGGGACUGAGACACGGCCCAGACUCCUACGGGAGGCAGCAGUGGGGGAAUAUUGGACAAUGGGGGCAACCCUGAUCCAGCCAUGCCGCGUGAGUGAUGAAGGCCUUCGGGUUGUAAAGCUCUUUUGGCGGGGACGAUGAUGACGGUACCCGCAGAAUAAGCCCCGGCUAACUUCGUGCCAGCAGCCGCGGUAAU
RNAcentral lists this ribosomal RNA (488 nucleotides) under uncultured bacterium. Its description in RNAcentral is "SSU rRNA". It matches the Rfam family "Bacterial small subunit ribosomal RNA", at positions 26 to 524 of the family's 1533-position model. The record is from RNAcentral.